Molecule: unclassified non-coding RNA, 303 nt
Filed under: Hevea brasiliensis (rubber tree)
Lineage: Eukaryota; Viridiplantae; Streptophyta; Magnoliopsida; Malpighiales; Euphorbiaceae
Source: RNAcentral
AUAGCAUAAGUUUAUAUUAUGCAUUGGAAAAACAUAUUUCAAUGCAUACAUAACAUAAAAUCAUUCCACCGUAAAACAACUACAUUACGGUUCAUCAAAAUCCAAAGCUUACUCAGAUAGCUUUAAUGGUGAAUAGAUAAUAAUAAUAAUCCCUAAAAUCGAAACCAUACUCAAAAUUGCAGAGCACCAAUAGCAAUAGAACAUAUACCGUAAAUUUAACGGUAAGAUUUCUGGAACCUAGAACGAGCACCACGACCACCAAACUUCUUAGGCUCACAACGUCUAGGAUCAGCAACAAGCAAA